Molecule: ribosomal RNA, 253 nt
Filed under: uncultured bacterium
Lineage: Bacteria
Description: partial 16S ribosomal RNA
Rfam family: Bacterial small subunit ribosomal RNA
Source: RNAcentral
UACGUAGGGUGCAAGCGUUGUCCGGAAUUAUUGGGCGUAAAGAGCUCGUAGGCGGUUUGUCGCGUCUGCUGUGAAAACUCGGGGCUUAACUCCGGGCCUGCAGUGGGUACGGGCAGACUAGAGUGCGGUAGGGGAGACUGGAAUUCCUGGUGUAGCGGUGAAAUGCGCAGAUAUCAGGAGGAACACCGGUGGCGAAGGCGGGUUGCUGGGCCGACACUGACGCUGAGGCGCGAAAGCUAGGGGAGCGAACGGG